RNAcentral lists this ribosomal RNA (253 nucleotides) under uncultured bacterium. RNAcentral's name for it is "partial 16S ribosomal RNA". It matches the Rfam family "Bacterial small subunit ribosomal RNA", at positions 524 to 776 of the family's 1533-position model. The record is from RNAcentral.
UACGGAGGGUGCGAGCGUUGUCCGGAAUCAUUGGGCGUAAAGGGCGCGUAGGUGGCGGCUUAAGCGUGCGGUGAAAGCUCGGGGCUCAACCCCGAGUCGGCCGUGCGAACUGAGUCGCUUGAGCACUGUAGAGGCAGGCGGAAUUCCGGGUGUAGCGGUGGAAUGCGUAGAGAUCCGGAAGAACACCGGUGGCGAAGGCGGCCUGCUGGGCAGUAGCUGACACUGAGGCGCGACAGCGUGGGGAUCAAACAGG